AGAGUUUGAUCAUGGCUCAGAACGAACGCUGGCGGCAUGCCUAACACAUGCAAGUCGAACGAGACCUUCGGGUCUAGUGGCGCACGGGUGCGUAACGCGUGGGAAUCUGCCCUCUGGUACGGAAUAACUCAGGGAAACUUGAGCUAAUACCGUAUAAUGACUUCGGUCCAAAGAUUUAUCGCCUGAGGAUGAGCCCGCGUAGGAUUAGCUUGUUGGUGAGGUAAAAGCUCACCAAGGCGACGAUCCUUAGCUGGUCUGAGAGGAUGAUCAGCCACACUGGGACUGAGACACGGCCCAGACUCCUACGGGAGGCAGCAGUGGGGAAUAUUGGACAAUGGGCGAAAGCCUGAUCCAGCAAUGCCGCGUGAGUGAUGAAGGCCUUAGGGUUGUAAAGCUCUUUUACCCGGGAUGAUAAUGACAGUACCGGGAGAAUAAGCCCCGGCUAACUCCGUGCCAGCAGCCGCGGUA
RNAcentral lists this ribosomal RNA (468 nucleotides) under uncultured Pseudomonadota bacterium. RNAcentral describes it as "bacterial SSU rRNA". It matches the Rfam family "Bacterial small subunit ribosomal RNA", at positions 8 to 522 of the family's 1533-position model. Lineage: Bacteria; Pseudomonadati; Pseudomonadota. The record is from RNAcentral.